CUGAAGGACUCGUUGGCAGAGGCUGGGCAGGAUGCUGUGGAGAAGCUGCUGGAGAUUGAAAGCCGGCUGUCACCAUCCCUGCCCGUGGAGCCCGAGGAGAGCGAGGAAGGUGGAGGCAGCGACAAGCUGUGGACGUUCCUUGUUCAGAGCACCAUGAUGGAGCCUCUCAACUGCAAGAGAGUCAGCAGCCCCACAUUGAACACCACCUCUGAAGACACGUUCCAGUUCCGCAGUCAAGAGGAGGACUGCUCCCUCUCUCGCGAUGAGAUCAAACGGCGCAACAACCAGCUCAUCGAGGCCCACCAGCCCAAGAAGAAAGCAACCAAGGGCCCCAAGGCUAGCUAAGGGCCCCAAGGCUAGCUAAGGGCCCCAAGGCUAGCUAAAGGCCCCAAGGCUAGCUAAGGGCCCCAAGGCUAGCUAAAGGCACCGGCACAGAGAGAGGGGGGGUGAUGUGGAAGCCUGGGAGACUGUAUCUGAGUCCAACACAGCCAGAGGAGCUCUUGGUACAGACGAAAGAAAAUAAACAGGCCAGAACUAUCAUUUCACCUCUUUGGGACUUCUGUUUUGGAAUUAUCCCGUAGGCUGGGAGUUUAUUUUGAUGAUGUUAUAUAUCAAGAUAAGUGUGAACACCCACGGGUGUGUCUGCACUCACAGAGCUCUCCAAGCAAAGACAUUUGUAGUGUUGUAACAGGACAGUU
Molecule: long non-coding RNA, 698 nt
Organism: Clupea harengus (Atlantic herring)
Lineage: Eukaryota; Metazoa; Chordata; Actinopteri; Clupeiformes; Clupeidae
Exons: 3
Source: RefSeq, a predicted model, not a curated record